AUUGAACGCUGGCGGCAUGCCUUACACAUGCAAGUCGAACGGCAGCACGGGAGCAAUCCUGGUGGCGAGUGGCGAACGGGUGAGUAAUAUAUCGGAACGUGCCCAGUCGUGGGGGAUAACGUAGCGAAAGCUACGCUAAUACCGCAUACGAUCUAUGGAUGAAAGCGGGGGAUCGCAAGACCUCGCGCGAUUGGAGCGGCCGAUAUCAGAUUAGGUAGUUGGUGAGGUAAAGGACUCACCAAGCCGACGAUCUGUAGCUGGUCUGAGAGGACGACCAGCCACACUGGGACUGAGACA
Molecule: ribosomal RNA, 297 nt
Filed under: uncultured bacterium
Lineage: Bacteria
Description: partial 16S ribosomal RNA
Rfam family: Bacterial small subunit ribosomal RNA
Source: RNAcentral